UACGUAUGUUGCGAGCGUUGUCCGGAAUUAUUGGGCGUAAAGAGCUUGUAGGCGGUUUGUCGCGUCUGCUGUGAAAAUCCGGGGCUCAACCCCGGACUUGCAGUGGGUACGGGCAGACUAGAGUGUGGUAGGGGAGACUGGAAUUCCUGGUGUAGCGGUGAAAUGCGCAGAUAUCAGGAGGAACACCAGUGGCGAAGGCGGUGCUCUGGGCCGGAACUGACGCUGAGGAGCGAAAGCGUGGGGAGCAAACAGG
This 253-nucleotide ribosomal RNA is filed under the name uncultured bacterium. RNAcentral describes it as "partial 16S ribosomal RNA". It matches the Rfam family "Bacterial small subunit ribosomal RNA", at positions 524 to 776 of the family's 1533-position model. The record is from RNAcentral.